UUUCCCCGUAACCAGGGAGACUGCAGUUUGCAGUGAUGUGGCUAAGAUACCCUUGUGCUAUUAAAGGCACAUUUACGUAUCUUUCAACGCAGUUUGUACCUUUGUUUAGGGUUCUAUUGAACUUUCUCUGUGCUCUUUAGAAAACCGUCGAAUAAAGAACUCAAAUGAUGCUGUUUUUGGACAGGGAGGUCAUGGACCAAGUACAAAGCGGCAAAAGGAUGGAAUUAAGGGAUAUUUCCAGUGAAAGAAAGAAGAAAGCAUGCUUUUCUCUUGACUGUGCAGAAAAAAAAACUAUGUUUCUUUGAUUCUCCAUUUUACUAGAUGCCAUACCUUUGCAAUUACUUCAUGUGGAGUCUUGACCAAGAUUCAGGAAAUACUAGAACUUUCAGUCCCAGAAGGUUACUCUGGGCAUUACUAGUCCCCAUCAUUAUGAGUUGAGUUUUACUAGUUAAUUUCAGACGAAAAAUAUUUGUUUUUCCCCAAAUUCUGGGGUUACGUACUUUUACUACCUAUGAACUGACAACUGUAUCUUCAGUAAUUACAAUUUCCAACAAAAUGUUAUAGGAAUAAAGAAAAGAUGUUAGUUCAUUAUUCAGAGUUUAUGUUUAUUCCUUUAAUAAAAAGAAAUGGUCUGUAUUUCUUCUUUUCACAUUUAUUUCCUCAGUUCAAACCUGCUUUUCAGG
Molecule: long non-coding RNA, 683 nt
Filed under: Homo sapiens (human)
Lineage: Eukaryota; Metazoa; Chordata; Mammalia; Primates; Hominidae
Description: HSALNT0071967
Source: RNAcentral